AAGGAUAUUUGGGUAGUUAGAUGUAGAGGCAAUUAAAAACCUGCUGGGUGGGCUUUUUUACUCAAAGGUCUGGACCCUGAUUUGGAAGAUAGAGGUUGAUUCUCUUUGUGGUGCUUACAAAUGUUCUAGCAUGGAGUAGAAAGGGAAUGUGAAGCCAGACUUUUCAGAACAGACUGUCCAUGGAUUUUUAGUCUCCAUGUGUUUUACACUCAUUGACAGAUGGCCAAGAAAUUACUUAAAAAAAAAAAAAAUCAGCUGUAAAACUGACUUAGGAGAACAAUCUGGACACAAGCAAGCUUGAUCACACAGGGAAGUGAGUCUGGUGGUGGACUGUCAUAGAACUCCAUCUCUUGUCUCUUUAGCCAGUUCCUUCUGUAUUCUCUCUUUGCUGAUCCUGUUCACAGCCACCAGUAGCCAGCCAGGCCAGAGACUCUGGAAUCCUCUUUGACUGCUCUUCCUCAUCCACACACUUGCCAAGUACCUCAGGGGAAACUGACCUUGCGUGGCCAGAAUUCCAUCACUCUACCACCUCAAACACUGGUGCACAAGUAAGCAUAUGAGGGAAUUAAGCCUUGGAGAACCCAACCUGUGAAACUUCCUUGAGCUGGUAAAUGGAAGAAUGGGGAUGUAAAGCCAGGUCUGGGUGAUUUGAGAGGCCACGCCUUUAAUUGUGAUGUCAUGUUGCCUGGGAGCACUAAAUCAGGCCAAAUGGGAUGGAGACAGGAAUUUAGAACUCCUGAAUUUCAGACUGGUCUGCACCUGUUUUAUCUGGCUAGUCAAUGUAAAUGUAGUUUUGGAAUUAGAGAAUUUGGUAGCACAACCACUGCAAAUCAGAGAUGCUUGGAUUCUUCUUAAUCCACCUCUGUCACUGAGUGACUGUAUCAGCCUGCACACUUUAUUUUCUCUGAGCCCUGAUUUCUAUCUCUUUAGCCUGGGAAGUAUAUAAAUUUCACUCUCUCUGUCAUAGGUUUUGAGGAGUAAGCCAAAUUGUAUGUAGUAAGAGUACAAAAAAAGCAUGCAUUAUCAUUAUUUUGUGAUUUUCUCAUCCCUUCUUACUGCUUUCCACACCUGGUAACUCUAAAUUAUAAUAAUGAGAGGCAUCUAUUUUUGUUGCUGCUAUUAAUCUUAUAUAAAGAGAUAGGAUUGAUUAUCCAUUAAUUGGGGAAGAAGUAAGAAAAAGGCAAAAUAUUCUGGGGUUCAUGCUCAUUUUCGGAAACUUGAUAACUGAGUACUAGAAUACGACUUUGGAACUGACCUCAAUAGAACAGGCUGUGCCAGCAAGAAAAACCCUAUUUAAAAAAGGGGAGAUAUUCCAUUUCAGUUUUCUCAUUUGUAAGAUGUAGAGUAGAAUAAAGAUUCCUUUUCACUCACCCCCUCAAAAAAAAAAAAAAAAAAAAAA
Molecule: long non-coding RNA, 1399 nt
Organism: Sus scrofa (pig)
Lineage: Eukaryota; Metazoa; Chordata; Mammalia; Artiodactyla; Suidae
Source: RefSeq, a predicted model, not a curated record